GUAGUCUCGCACAGAUGCAUAUCAAUAAGCGGAGGAAAAGAAACUAACAAGGAUUCCCCUAGUAACGGCGAGUGAAGCGGGAAGAGCUCAAAUUUGAAAUCUUAAAGGGUUUCCCUUUACGAAUUGUAGUUUAAAGAAGUGUUUUCUGUUGAGGUUUUGGUAAAAGUUCUUUGGAAUAGGACAUCAUAGAGGGUGAGAAUCCCGUAUUUGACCUUUACUUUCAACUUUGUGAUACACUUUCAAAGAGUCGGAUUGUUUGGGAAUGCAGUCCAAAAUGGGUGGUAAAUUUCAUCUAAAGCUAAAUAUUGGCGAGAGACCGAUAGCGAACAAGUACCGUGAGGGAAAGAUGAAAAGAACUUUGAAAAGAGAGUUAAACAGUACGUGAAAUUGUCAAAAGGGAAGCGUUUGACACCAGUGUUGUUUUUCUGAAAAUCAAUUAAAGAACUGUUUAUGCUAAGCUGUUUAGACUUUAUCAGCUAUCUGUUUAGUUUUGAGCUUUUCUUUAAUGCACUUUUCAGUUAACAAGUCAACAUCAAUUUCUUUUGCUGUAAAAAAGCUUGAGGAAGGUGGCUUGAGAUUCGUCUUAAGUGUUUAUAGCCUCUCGCCUAUGCAGUCGGAGAGAUUGAGGUCUGCAGCGUAGAUCCUUCGGGGCUAAAUGCAUUUGUGCUAAGUUAUAGCAUUUUAUAGACAACUUGUUGACUAUGAUUUGUCUUGUAGCUUACUCGCUUAUGUUAUUUUACCUACGCUUAGGAUGUUGAACUACUGAGACAUAGA
Molecule: ribosomal RNA, 774 nt
Filed under: uncultured Neocallimastigales
Lineage: Eukaryota; Fungi; Neocallimastigomycota; Neocallimastigomycetes; Neocallimastigales
Description: partial large subunit ribosomal RNA
Rfam family: Eukaryotic large subunit ribosomal RNA
Source: RNAcentral